CUGCAGCUCAAGUGGUGAUCAUUAUUAUUGGGCCUAAAACGUCCGUAGCCUGUUUAGUAAAUGCCUGGGUAAAUCGUGUAGCUUAACUAUACGAAUUCCGGGUAGACUGCUAAACUUGAGACCGGGAGAGGCUAGAGGUACUCCUGGGGUAGAGGUGAAAUUCUGUAAUCCUAGGGGGACCACCAGUGGCGAAGGCGUCUAGCUAGAACGGGUCUGACGGUGAGGGACGAAGCCCUGGGGCACAAACCGGAUUAGAUACCCGUGUAGUCC
RNAcentral lists this ribosomal RNA (270 nucleotides) under uncultured archaeon. RNAcentral's name for it is "partial 16S ribosomal RNA". It matches the Rfam family "Archaeal small subunit ribosomal RNA", at positions 477 to 747 of the family's 1478-position model. The record is from RNAcentral.